Molecule: long non-coding RNA, 625 nt
Organism: Thunnus maccoyii (southern bluefin tuna)
Lineage: Eukaryota; Metazoa; Chordata; Actinopteri; Scombriformes; Scombridae
Exons: 2
Source: RefSeq, a predicted model, not a curated record
CACAUCCCCAAUUGUUACUCUCGUUUCUCAUUUCUCGUUGUUUUGUUUUCCUCUUCUAUACCUACAUUUAAGUACCAGUAACAACCGUGCUGCUGCUACGUCCUGCCUUGCUCAGAGGAACUUCAUGGCGGUUGAAGAGAGCGAGAGAGCGCUGCUCCUUCUCCUUUUUCCUUCCCAGCCAAUCACAUGCCAACGUGCUCCUGCAGUCGUCCCUCAUGCUGAGUUUGACAGCGCUGUGUUACAGCAACACAAACUUUGAGACAUGGAGAGAGAUGACUGGAGGAUCUGGAUGCAUGCUGAGGAAAGAAAAAAAAAAAACAACAAAAAAAACGCCCUGUCAGGAUUUUACAAACAAGAAAGGUGUGAAACAUGAAAGGCUGACAGAAAGUGAAAAAUCUGCAGAUUCCAUAUGGAGGUGCUGAUGGUGCAGCGUCUGCAGCAGGGGUCGCCUGUGGCAGCCGCUGACUGCACUGCACACACUCCUGAAACAGCACACACACACACAUGCAUCAACCUCUUCUGCAACUUCUACUUUGAUUGUGAAUUACUACGUUUCCCAGAAUGCCUUUUAAUAACUUCUAAAACAAUAGCUGAGAAUGUGUCAUCUUGAGCCAUUUAUGUAUGC